CUCAGACUGAAGCUGUAGGAGUCCGGUUCUCCUGCUCCAGUCAGCGCCCGCUCCAGGUCCUGGAUGUACUUCUCCAUGGUCAUCUCCAGCUCCGCUGCCUCGCCGCUCAUGGUGGCCUCGCCCACUGAGCGGACACAGAAGUGGCAUCCUGUCCAUCAGUGAGCAGCACCCGGAAGCCUGAAGCUAAGCUCCGCCCCUUCCAGUCCACACGCAGGAAGUAGGAGGAGCCAGGUUGGGAUGAGACGCGGAUCUCCCGCACGGCCGUGUUCAUCCCUGCAGAAGAAACAGCCAGUCAGGUGGAGCAGGAAGAACUCUGGAUGGUCGGAGCGUUCCUCUGAAACAGCGUGAAGAGGAGGAAGACCUCAUGGAGAGGAGGAAGACCUCAUGGAGAGGAGGAAGACCUCAUGGAGAGGAGGAAGACCUCAUGGAGAGGAGGAAGUCCUCAUGGAGAGGAGGAAGACCUCAUGGAGAGGAGGAAGACCUCAUGGAGAGGAGGAAGUCCUCAUGGAGAGGAGGAAGUCCUCAUGGAGAGGAGGAAGACCUCAUGGAGAGGAGGAAGUCCUCUCCAUGAGGUCUUCCUCCUCUCAAAACUUUACUUCACAUCAAAAACCCUGAAGAGGUCCAGCGCCUUGACGGCAUGAACUGAGAAAACACACGGUCUGCAGAUCCAGACUCCACCACCGGAUCCAGACUUCCACCUACAGAUCCAGACUCCACCUCCAGAUCCAGACUUCACCACCGGAUCCAGACCUCCACCUCCAGAUCCAGACCUCCACCACAGUUUUCACUUCCAUUGGAUGGUUUUCUCUCUGACAGACAAACCUGGAGAAAGUCUGAACUUCCACGUCUAUUGUUGAACUCCGGUUUAUGUUGAUGGAGGUUCUCAUUCCCUGAAUGUUUCAGCAAAAAUGAAACUUUCUGCUGCUGAUCUUCCUGACAGCCGCUGCUGCUCAAAACCAAUGACACCGCGGUGCCUCGGAGGCUCCUCCUCCUGAGUGAAGGUUUGUUCGUAAAGCAUGUGUGGGACUAAUGAGAGGUUCUGAACUCCAGAAAACCUGGUCUGAAUGGAGCCGUCUAGAACUCAUCCUGAUGCUCCGAUGACCAGAGGACGUCCACAUCUGCUCACAUGAAACCGAAUUAUUUCUCUUUUUGAAUCAUGAAAACCUGAACUCUACAUCAGAUGAUCAUCAGGAUCAACCUGGAAGUCCAGCUGAUCUGAAGAACUGAAGUCUGUCAGACAUUCAUGAAACUUUGAUAAAAGAUUCCAAAGAUCUCA
Long non-coding RNA from Oryzias melastigma (Indian medaka), 1276 nucleotides. RefSeq lists it as uncharacterized. NCBI's taxonomy places the organism in Eukaryota, Metazoa, Chordata, Actinopteri, Beloniformes, Adrianichthyidae. The transcript has 2 exons. The record is from RefSeq and is a predicted model, not a curated record.